Neocloeon triangulifer is the source of this 1637-nucleotide long non-coding RNA. RefSeq lists it as uncharacterized. The record is from RefSeq and is a predicted model, not a curated record. NCBI's taxonomy places the organism in Eukaryota, Metazoa, Arthropoda, Insecta, Ephemeroptera, Baetidae. The transcript is spliced from 4 exons.
UAAAUUGCAACUCGCGCCGCGCCGUGUUUAUCAUUAAAAAAGAUAAAAAGGGCCGUAAUUCGUUGGCUGCAGUGCCGCCGCUGGAAUGCUGCCAGGUAACAAGCACCAAACGUGAAUUACGCACCAAGGGACACUUUGAAAGAAGAUAGAAGACGAGGCGGAUUUGCUCUCUUGUGUUGUUUAGCGUUCGUGUGAGAACCUUUUUUUCGCUGCUUUUCUCGUCUUUAGCAACAUCCGUGUCUUUGCGGUAAUGAUUUAUAUUUGCAGCGUCUUUUGUCACAGCGGAAUUUUUUGCAAUGAAUAAAAACGAGCUGCUUUUCUCAAAUGUAGCCAAAAAACUUAAAUUUGAAUAAAAUUGGUCAUUUUCCGUUAAAACCUGGUAAGCAUUUUCAUGGUUGCUCUCCAGGUGAUUAGAUAGCACCGUUGAGGGUGAAAACGAGAGCCGCUAAUAAAGGUGCUCACACAGCAAAUAGGAUGUGGUUUGCCGGGCCGUAAUCAGAGAAGCUGUGGGUGCACUUUCGGCCACCUCGAUGACAAACACAGCUAAAGGGCUUCCCCUCUGCAGCCGCGCCGAGAUCGAAAUGAGGGGGAUGCGCGAGCAAUCAACAGGAGCCCUGGGGCCACUCGUUGCGGCUGCCGUUUUACCCAGAAAAAUGAGAUUUGCCACCAAGAGGAAAUUGUAAAUCAGAGUUAAAUUGGAUUUCAUCCGAGAUUCACUUUUGGCACCAGGAAAACAUCUCCAUCUAGGCCGCAAGAGAUGAAAAUGUUGACAUCAAAGAAUCUGUUACGUUUUAUUUAUAAAAAUGCGCACGUCGACAAAUAAGGCAGCGUUUAUGAGAAAUCGUUCUGCGGAGAGAUCGUUUUCAUUCUUCGCUUGCUCAUUUUCCACAUUCGCUCCAUAUUGAGAAAAAUAUAUUCAAAACGCGGCUGUCCAGCACGCAUAGCGCGGUGUCCAAUUACUUAGGAGCUGUCGUUGGAGAAAAUGAAAACAACAAACAGCGUCAAAGUGCGUCACUCGCGCGGUGCCGAAGAAAGAGACAAGACAUCCUGUCUACCAAAACAUACCAAAUCACCACUAAUGGAGCCGGUGAGAUUUAUUAACGCCACGUCGACGGCCCGAGUCACUAUUUUUAAGCAAUUACACGCCACGACUUUUUGUCUCCGACGACGUGUAACAGCGAAAAGCUAAAUAGAGGACCUUGGAGAGUGUCUUGCUUGCACCUGUUACUUUUUAUAAUAUAUUCUUAUAAAUCAGUGUGGAUUUGUGUGUGAGAUUAAAAUAAUGUCGAAAUUAUUUACAUCUAUUCUGUAAAAUAAUUUUUAAUUUUAAUAAAAUAUUUUAGUGAAGAAAUUAACACUCAAGGAGACAAUCAAGGAAGUCAAUAUUAAUCGAUAAAAAUAUAAUAAAUCACAUAAAAAUAAACAAAUAAAUACAUAAAAAUAAUUAAAAAUAAAAUAUAAUUUGUUUGUAGAAAUUGACAGUCUACAAGAUGAUGAUGGAAGUCAAUAUUAAUAAAGAUUAUGAUAAAUUUCUGAAGUAAAAAAAACGUCAGUAGAAAUGAAUGUAAUUAAAAAAGUAUCUGAUUUCUUUGAGGAAAUUGACACUUGUAGAGAUGAUUAUUUUUGAAUAAAAACAA